Molecule: unclassified non-coding RNA, 202 nt
Filed under: Hevea brasiliensis (rubber tree)
Lineage: Eukaryota; Viridiplantae; Streptophyta; Magnoliopsida; Malpighiales; Euphorbiaceae
Source: RNAcentral
GUUAAGUUGGGAUAUUGCUUUGGUGAAUUUAUCUCUGCAUCAUUGAUAACAUUUUAUUCAAACUGCAAACAGGUGCAGAGAGCUGACCAGGUAUUUAGUGAGACAUUGUGGUUAUAUGGACUGCUCUUUUUAACAGGAUAUGAUUUGAAUUUCUGAAUAUUUUAUAGCUCCCACCCUCUCUGUUAGAAAAUUUUUGAAAAGU